UACGGAGGAUGCAGGCGUUAUCCGGAUUUAUUAGGUUUAAAGGGUGCGUAGGCGGUUAUAUAAGUCAGUGGUGAAAUCCUACAGCUCAACUGUAGAACUGCCAUUGAUACUGUAUAACUUGAGUGCAGUCGAGGUAGGCGGAAUGUGUAAUGUAGCGGUGAAAUGCAUAGAUAUUACACAGAACACCAAUUGCGUAGGCAGCUUACUAGACUGUAACUGACGCUGAUGCACGAAAGCGUGGGUAGCGAACAGG
Molecule: ribosomal RNA, 253 nt
Filed under: uncultured bacterium
Lineage: Bacteria
Description: partial 16S ribosomal RNA
Rfam family: Bacterial small subunit ribosomal RNA
Source: RNAcentral